Molecule: ribosomal RNA, 254 nt
Filed under: uncultured bacterium
Lineage: Bacteria
Description: partial 16S ribosomal RNA
Rfam family: Bacterial small subunit ribosomal RNA
Source: RNAcentral
CACGUAGGGGGCAAGCGUUGUCCGGAUUUAUUGGGCGUAAAGAGCUCGUAGGCUGUUCGAUAAGUCGGGUGUGAAACCUCCAGGCUCAACCUGGAGACGCUACCCGAUACUGUCAUGACUAGAGUCCGGUAGGGGAGCGUGGAAUUCCUGGUGUAGCGGUGAAAUGCGCAGAUAUCAGGAGGAACACCAGCGGCGAAGGCGGCGCUCUGGGCCGGUACUGACGCUGAGGAGCGAAAGCGUGGGUAGCAAACAGG